UACGUAGGCAGCGAGCGUUGUUCGGAGUUACUGGGCGUAAAGAGUAUGUAGGCGGUUCUGUAAGUCUGGUGUGAAAUCUCCCGGCUCAACUGGGAGGGUGCGCCGGAAACUGCAGGGCUAGAGUGUGGGAGAGGAAAGCGGAAUUCCUGGUGUAGCGGUGAAAUGCGUAGAUAUCAGGAGGAACACCGGCGGUGUAGACGGCUUUCUGGACCAUUACUGACGCUGAGAUACGAAAGCGUGGGGAGCAAAC
This 250-nucleotide ribosomal RNA is filed under the name uncultured bacterium. RNAcentral's name for it is "partial 16S ribosomal RNA". It matches the Rfam family "Bacterial small subunit ribosomal RNA", at positions 524 to 773 of the family's 1533-position model. The record is from RNAcentral.